Molecule: non-coding RNA, 21 nt
Filed under: Caenorhabditis elegans
Lineage: Eukaryota; Metazoa; Nematoda; Chromadorea; Rhabditida; Rhabditidae
Source: RNAcentral
CGAGAUGUCGUAAAAACUGUA